CGAACGCUGGCGGCGUGCUUAACACAUGCACGUCGACCGGAAAGGCCCUGCUUGCAGGGUACUCGAGUGGCGAACGGGUGAGUAACACGUGGGUGAUCUGCCCUGCACUUCGGGAUAAGCCUGGGAAACUGGGUCUAAUACCGGAUAGGAGCCAUUUUUAGUGUGAUGGUUGGAAAGUUUUUUCGGUGUAGGAUGAGCUCGCGGCCUAUCAGCUUGUUGGUGGGGUAAUGGCCUACCAAGGCGGCGACGGGUAGCCGGCCUGAGAGGGUGGACGGCCACAUUGGGACUGAGAUACGGCCCAGACGCCUACGGGAGGCAGCAGUGGGGAAUAUUGCACAAUGGGCGCAAGCCUGAUGCAGCGACGCCGCGUGGGGGAUGACGGCCUUCGGGUUGUAAACUCCUUUCGCUAGGGACGAAGCUUUUUGUGACGGUACCUAGAUAAGAAGCACCGGCUAACUACGUG
Molecule: ribosomal RNA, 463 nt
Filed under: uncultured bacterium
Lineage: Bacteria
Description: partial 16S ribosomal RNA
Rfam family: Bacterial small subunit ribosomal RNA
Source: RNAcentral